RNAcentral lists this ribosomal RNA (465 nucleotides) under Vreelandella stevensii. RNAcentral's name for it is "partial 16S ribosomal RNA". It matches the Rfam family "Bacterial small subunit ribosomal RNA", at positions 338 to 795 of the family's 1533-position model. The record is from RNAcentral. Lineage: Bacteria; Pseudomonadati; Pseudomonadota; Gammaproteobacteria; Oceanospirillales; Halomonadaceae.
CCUACGGGUGGCUGCAGUGGGGAAUAUUGGACAAUGGGGGGAACCCUGAUCCAGCCAUGCCGCGUGUGUGAAGAAGGCCCUCGGGUUGUAAAGCACUUUCAGUGAGGAAGAACGCCUGGUGGUUAAUACCCAUCAGGAAAGACAUCACUCACAGAAGAAGCACCGGCUAACUCCGUGCCAGCAGCCGCGGUAAUACGGAGGGUGCGAGCGUUAAUCGGAAUUACUGGGCGUAAAGCGCGCGUAGGUGGCUUGAUAAGCCGGUUGUGAAAGCCCCGGGCUCAACCUGGGAACGGCAUCCGGAACUGUCAAGCUAGAGUGCAGGAGAGGAAGGUAGAAUUCCCGGUGUAGCGGUGAAAUGCGUAGAGAUCGGGAGGAAUACCAGUGGCGAAGGCGGCCUUCUGGACUGACACUGACACUGAGGUGCGAAAGCGUGGGUAGCAAACAGGACUAGAUACCCUGGUAGUC